This 84-nucleotide microRNA precursor is filed under the name Bombyx mori (domestic silkworm). Its description in RNAcentral is "mir-2807 microRNA precursor family". It matches the Rfam family "mir-2807 microRNA precursor family". Lineage: Eukaryota; Metazoa; Arthropoda; Insecta; Lepidoptera; Bombycidae. The record is from Rfam by way of RNAcentral.
AAAAGUUAACUCAGUAUGGAGUCGGAACGUUUGCCUAGGUUUGCCGCUAGGGACGCUGUUCCAAUCGCAUACAAAUUUGAGUUA